Molecule: ribosomal RNA, 618 nt
Filed under: uncultured fungus
Lineage: Eukaryota; Fungi
Description: eukaryotic LSU rRNA
Rfam family: 5.8S ribosomal RNA (bases 149-302)
Source: RNAcentral
UGUGCACGCCCGAGCGCUCUCACACAAUCCAUCUCACCCCUUUGUGCAUCACCGCGUGGGUCUUCCCUUUGCGGGGAGGGCCUGCGUUUUCACAUAAAACCCGAUACAGUGUAGAGUGUUUAUUUUUGCGGUCAUACGCAAUCAAUACAACUUUCAACAACGGAUCUCUUGGCUCUCGCAUCGAUGAAGAACGCAGCGAAAUGCGAUACGUAAUGUGAAUUGCAGAAUUCAGUGAAUCAUCGAAUCUUUGAACGCACCUUGCGCCCCUUGGCAUUCCGAGGGGCACACCCGUUUGAGUGUCGUGAAAUCCUCAAAGCCCCUUUUUCUUUGACGAGAAAGAGGAGUUUUGGACUUGGAGGUUCAAUGCUCGCUUUCGAUUCCGAAAGGCGAGCUCCUCUCAAAUGAAUCAGUGGGGUCCGCUUUGCUGGUCCUUGACGUGAUAAUGUGUUUCUACGUUUUGGAUCUGGCACUGUCACUUGGAUGCCCGCUUCUAACCGUCUCAUAGAGACAAUGAUGGUGCUCCGGUCACCGCCACCUACACUGGCGGGAGGCUUGACCCACGACAAAAAACCUUGACCUCAAAUCGGGUGAGACUACCCGCUGAACUUAAGCAUAUCA